GACGAACGCUGGCGGCGUGCCUAAUACAUGCAAGUCGAACGAAGCUGUUUUAACUGGUGCUUGCACCGACUUAAACAACUGAGUGGCGAACGGGUGAGUAACACGUGGGUAACCUGCCCCAAAGCGGGGGAUAACAUUUGGAAACAGAUGCUAAUACCGCAUAACCACAGAAACCACAUGGUUUCUGUGUCAAAGAUGGUUUCGGCUAUCACUUUGGGAUGGACCCGCGGCGUAUUAGCUAGUUGGUAAGGUAAUGGCUUACCAAGGCAAUGGUACGUAGCCGAACUGCGAGGGUGAUCGGCCACAUUGGGACUGAGACCAGGCCCAAACUCCUACGGGAGGCAGCAGUAGGGAAUCUUCCACAAUGGACGAAAGUCUGAUGGAGCAACGCCGCGUGAGUGAAGAAGGUUUUCGGAUCGUAAAUCUCUGUUGUCAGAGAAGAACGUGUGCGAGAGUAACUGCUCGUGCAGUGACGGUAUCUGGCCAGAAAGCCACGGCUAACUACGUGCCAGCAGCCGCCGUAA
This 524-nucleotide ribosomal RNA is filed under the name uncultured bacterium. Its description in RNAcentral is "partial 16S ribosomal RNA". It matches the Rfam family "Bacterial small subunit ribosomal RNA", at positions 28 to 523 of the family's 1533-position model. The record is from RNAcentral.